GAUUGGAUUCCAUGAUAAUUUGAUGGAUUUCGGUGAUUGAUUUGGGGUGGUAAUACUAUUAUACUAAUUUUUGCCAUGACCAAAUGAAUCUAAGUAAGUGAUGUUUAAGGUCACAUACUUAAGUAUGUAUGCCUGACAUGUAUGUAUGUAUUUAUGUAUGUUUGGCAGAAUAAACAGUCAACUAUAAAAACUAUAGUUGAGAAAUGGUUAGCAUCCCUGGGAGAAAAAGGUUUGUGCGACUCCACUGCCAAUGAAAAGCAUGCAGGAAAUACAGGUGUCUCGAAGAUGGUGCAAAGACUGUAAAAAUAUACGAAGGGGUCAAACAUUUUUAUUAAUGGAUGGAUUUCAGGAGUUGCCUCUGAUUAGGCGUAAUUAGACGCUCUCGCUGUAUAAACUUUUUCCCUAAACUGUGUACCCCUGAAGCAGCAGUCCCCAGAAUUUAAGAACACCAAAUAUUUUUUUUAAGACUGUCGCAGUUGACAUGAAUUUUAUUAGUCAUGACUUGAAACAGAUUUGUUACUGGAACAAAUUUUUUCCCCCUCACUAGCAAAAUCCAAGUUUCAAUCUUAUCUGUCCUAAGUUGUAAAGAACUAAAUAAGAAUAGAUAUGAUGGAGGUAAAGAAAAUGGGAGUAAAGUUUACAGAGAUGGAUGACUUCAUGGAGCCUAUUGCGCCUUUUUUGGGCCCACCCUAAAAUUCCUCAACUCCGCGGUUUUUUGGUCAUUGAAGGUCUAUAUUUUACGGAAUGCAUCAUGGUUUGGUCAUUUCCGGUCUAAAUCGGGGUCUACCAAUGGCCUAAACAUGGGUCUGAAGGCCAAUUUUGGCGAAAAAUGCGUGUUUUUCAGCAUUCGACGCGCUGUUUCGUAACGAUCCCUUCGGAGGACAAAAAAUUCCUUCAAGUAUGUUCAUUAGGGAUGUAAGAGAGUCACUUUGGCCAAUUUUCGUCGAUGUCAAACCUUGCGCUCAUAGUUAAAAAAAACUUUUUAGAAUUUUUCUUGUUUUUCAUCAUUAUUUAAAAUGGCUUAAAAAAGGCGACUCAUCUUACACCAGAAUUAAACUUUUUUGACAGAUAAUGGUCGUGGGCGGUCAAAACCUUCCUUUAACAACUUUUUCCGAUUUAAAGCCCCUCAAAGAAGCCGGUGUUGCCAUAUUUUAUUGCCUAAAAUCAUAGAAAACCGAGUACUUAUUUCAGUAUUUGGGGGCUAUUUCUCGUCGAGCUCA
Molecule: long non-coding RNA, 1220 nt
Filed under: Bemisia tabaci
Lineage: Eukaryota; Metazoa; Arthropoda; Insecta; Hemiptera; Aleyrodidae
Description: lncRNA ENSSSA1UGG012296
Source: RNAcentral